Long non-coding RNA from Helianthus annuus (common sunflower), 448 nucleotides. RefSeq lists it as uncharacterized. The record is from RefSeq and is a predicted model, not a curated record. NCBI's taxonomy places the organism in Eukaryota, Viridiplantae, Streptophyta, Magnoliopsida, Asterales, Asteraceae. The transcript is spliced from 3 exons.
UCGAUCAAAACAGGGAGAAAAGGGGGUUCAACCCUAGUUCUUGAAACCAGCCAAAUCAAAGAGAAUUUCAUGGAAAUCGAACUGCAUGGGCUAAGAAUUUCGACCAUCUAAACCUAUCUAUUGAAGUGGCGUGAAGGAAGAAGGUUCCAAUACUAGGAAAUCAGAAGGUUCACAAGAUCGAGGUAAAUCCUCACUUUAGGCGACUUGGCAAUUUGGAGCGAGCACAUGCACAUGUUAUGACCAUCAAGCGCUUCCGUUAUUUCGUAUUAAUGUUUUGGGUCAAAAUGCUUGUUUUGUAUAACCUUGUUAGUCGUUGCACUUUUUAACACUUGAUGUUAUGGUUUUUAGUCGUGUCUAGUCGAACGGGUCGUAGACUUAUUUGUUUUGAUGAUGGUUAAAAUAGGGAUACGCUCGUCUUAUGGACGGGUCAUGCCCAAAUUUUGUUAAA